GUAUAAUGUUCAGUUUGAGAACAGAUCAUUUUAGUGCUGCUAUCUAGAGUAAGAAUGGAUUUAUGAACUGAAUGAAGUUUGUGUUUGAUGUUCUUCUUCAGACAGAGAGUGACGAGAGGUGAAGUGGUGCCCUGUCUGACCCGCACUAACCCUGACUGUCAGACCAGACAAAGAGUUAAAAACCAACACAAAACCAGCAUGAGGAACAAGUUUGAGAGAUUAUUUCAAUCAAACCCUCCUGAACAGGAUCUACACACAGCUCUACAUCAUAGAAGGAGAGAGUGAAAGGGUGAAUGAAGAACAUGAGGUUUUACAGAUGGAGAAAACAGCCAGAACACAAGACACUCCAAUCUACUGUAAUGACAUCUUUGAACCCUUACAUGAAUCAAAAUGUGAGGAGAAAGAUAAAAUCAAGACCGUUCUUACUAAAGGCAUCGCUGGAAUUGGAAAAACUGUCUCUGUGCAGAAGUUCAUUCUGGACUGGACCGAAGGAAAAGCCAAUCAGGAUUUAGAUUUCAUGUUUGUGCUUCCAUUUCGAGAGCUGAACUUGAUUAAAGAUCACCAGUACAGUCUUUACAGACUUCUGCUGGACUUUCAUCCUGAACUUCAAGAUCUGGACUCAAAGAUUUAUGAGGAGUUUAAAGUUGUGUUCAUCUUUGAUGGUCUGGAUGAAAGCAGAAUUCCACUGACAUUUUCAGAUAAUGAGAGAGUCCUUGAUAUGAAUAAGUCUUCAUCAGUGGGUGUGUUGAUGUCAAACCUCAUCAGAGGAGACCUGCUUCCCUCUGCUUUCAUCUGGAUCACCUCCAGACCAGCAGCAGCCAAUCAGAUCCCCUCAAAAUACAUCAACCGUGUGACAGAAAUUCAGGGAUUCAAUGAGCCUCAGAAGGAGGAAUAUUUCAGGAAGAGAAUCAGUGAUGAGCAUCAAGCCAGCAAAAUCAUCUCACACAUUAGAAGAUCAAGAAGCCUCCACAUCAUGUGUCACAUCCCCGUCUUCUGCUGGAUCUCAUCCACUGUGCUUCAGAACCUCCUGAAAUGAGAUGAGAGUGCAGAAAUCCCUCCAACUCUGACUGAAAUGUACAUCCACUUCCUGCUGACUCAGAUCAACAUGAGGAAUCAGAAGUAUGAUGAGAGAGAUCCAGAGAAACACCUGAAGUCCAACAGAGACUUGAUUGUGAAACUUGCUGAACUGGCGUUCAAUCAGCUGAUAAAGGGCAAUGUGAUGUUCUAUGAAGAGGACCUGAUUGAGAGCGGCAUAGACGCCACUGACGUCUCAGUGUAUUCUGGGAUGUGCACUGAGAUUUUUUAAGAAGGAAUCUGUGAUCCAUCAGAGGAAAGUCUACUGCUUCAUUCAUCUGAGCUUUCAGGAGUUUCUAGCUGCUUUCUUUCUGUUUUACUGCCAUGUAGUCGAGAAUGAGAAAUCACUGAAGUUGUUUAUGAGUGAAGAAUAUCAGAUGUCUGGUGGUAUCACUGGUACAAGAGAAACACAAGUCUGUCUGUAUGAUCUACUAAAAGAAUCAGUUGAUAAAUCCUUACAGAGUAAAAAUGGACACCUGGAUCUUUUCCUGCGGUUCCUGCUGGGGAUCUCACUGGAGUCCAAUCAGAGACUCUUACAGGAUCUACUGACACACACAGUGAACAGCUCAGAGACCAUCAAGAGAAUCACUGAGUACAUUAAAGACAAAAUCAAGGGUGAUGAAGGUCUUGCAGCUAACAGAUGCAUCAACCUGUACCUCCUUCUGCUGGAAAUGAACAAUCAAACUCUAGAUAUUCAAGAGUUUGUGAAAUCAGAGAAUUGUUCAGUGAAUAAGCUCUCUUUUGCUCACUGCUCAACCAUCGCUUACAUGCUUCAGAGUCUGAUCUGAAGAAAAUCAGCACAUCAGAUGAGGGUACCAGGAGACUGAUAUCAGCUGUGCAGGAGUGCAGAAAAGCUCUAUGUGAUGGAUGUUAUCUCACUGCUCAACGCUGUAAAUGUUUGUCUUCAUCUCUACAAUCAUCAAACUCACUGAGAGAGCUGGACGUGGGUCAAAAUGACCUGCAAGAUUCAGGAAUGAAGCUGCUCUCUGAUGAACCGAUGAGUUCACACUGCCAACUCAACAAAAAAAGGUUCACUUAAGAAAUUAAAGAUUUUUUUGUAAUGUAUCACAGACCCCAUGUGCUAAAGUCUUUGUGUUGGUACUAAAAUACAAAAAUAUAAACUUUAUUCUAAUAAGUUCUAAAAACAUCUAGCAUGGCCACUUCUAACGGAUUUAAAUUGUCGGCUACUUUUUGACAGCCCUCUCUCCUGGCUUUUGCAGACUUUAAGGUGUUUCCAGGCGUUUUGUAUAAAACAUUAAAAUUCCGAAUAAACUAUCUUGCUCUGUGGAGGAGAAAAGCUGUGCGCGCUCUUUGGCCAUGCUGAACAGCGUUGCUGAUGUUUCUACUAUCGAUACAUAUCCCCUUUUGAACCAGCGCAUGAACGCGCAGUUAUCUCAGAUAAUCAUAACCGGCAGGUGUGUUCGAAGAACCCAAUUAGCCAGAUCAGGAUUAGCACGAUAUGAUCUAGGAUGUCAUUUGAUCUCGGAUGUUUUAAGCAACGUACGAAGAAUGUGCCCCUGUGCCCCAGUAGAGCUUCAUGACUAGCAACGUCUCUGGGUGGGGGCUUACUAUGAUAUUAGACUGCAUAGCCUAUAUAAUAAAAGAUGAUGAAUUUCAAACCUGAACCAAGCAUAUUUUUAUUAAAAGUUCAACAGUCUGUGUUUAGUCUGCCACACAAAACAACAACUUUAACCUAACUUACCACAUAAUUUUUUUUUUAAUUGUCAUGUGUUAAAAUUUGUUAGCACUGAAAAUAUUGCUAAGGCAAAAACAAAAACAAUUAUAAACAGGUUUUCAGAAGCCACUGAGGGAUGAUGUCAUGGGAACACUGAGGCUAAAGCAAGUCACUGAUGUGUGCAAGUAAUAUCAAUGCUGACAAUGUCUUCUGGUCAAAUCAAUCAGGCCUUGGAGUCCAGACUUAAAAUCUUCUGGUUGAUUGUUGACAGCAUUGUCCAACAUUACAGUCACAUCUGGCCAUUGCAGAGCAAAUUCCCUCUCUGCAGUUUCCUGGUCCUGUGCACUCUGAAAGGGGUUGGUGCCAAAGUGUGAUACUCUUGUCAAUGAUCCCACCUCUUGCUCAUACCAGUCUGCAGCCACUGAUGCCUCUGGCAAAAGGUCUGUGGAUACGCGUUUUGGGCAUCCAUCUCUGGCCAAGUAACUGGGGAUUCCCUUUCCUAAAAGUAGUAAAGAUAAAAAGGAUACAUUGCUCAAGCUAUACAAUACAUUUUUUUUUUUUUACAUCAAAUAAAUCCCACUUUGUCAAAGCAUUUUGAGAAGCUGACCCACAAUCUUGCUUCAUGUGUAUAAAGUUGAAACAAGUACAAUCAAGCCCAAAAGACCAAUUCAUACGCAUUUAAAAAAAAAAACUGUCGAGGAUAAAAUACACAAAAAAGCCUUAGGCUUAUUUCCAUUGUGGUCCUCUGAGGGGGAACAAUCUACGAUAGCUUAAGGAUGACUGUUGUUAU
Carassius auratus (goldfish) is the source of this 3539-nucleotide long non-coding RNA. RefSeq lists it as uncharacterized. The record is from RefSeq and is a predicted model, not a curated record. The transcript has 3 exons. NCBI's taxonomy places the organism in Eukaryota, Metazoa, Chordata, Actinopteri, Cypriniformes, Cyprinidae.